Molecule: unclassified non-coding RNA, 870 nt
Filed under: Cyperus neobarteri
Lineage: Eukaryota; Viridiplantae; Streptophyta; Magnoliopsida; Poales; Cyperaceae
Description: partial contains trnH gene (partial), trnH-psbA IGS and psbA gene (partial)
Source: RNAcentral
UUCUUUUUUCCAUUCAUCAUUAUUGUUUUUAUUCUGACCUCUUAGAUUGAGGUAUUUGACAUGGAAUCUCCAUAUUUACUAAAAANAAAANNNNGGNAAUAAUAAAUCUAUAAAUGUUAUACAGAAUGAUCUGGAAAGAUCUACUUUUAUGUCCGCAACCGAAGCUCAAAAUUAUCUGUCGAUCGCAUAGCAAAUAAAAAAAAAANUCCUUAGUAAUAUGAGUUCUUUUUCUCAAUUAUUUUGAGUAUUGAAUUUAGAUAAAAAAAANNCAUUGAGUUAAGAUCAAUCUAAACCAAACCAUUUAUUUUUAACUUUAUAUAUUAUGACAUCGCUAUGUAAAAAAUCGAGGUCUUAUCAAUCCAUAAUUUAUAAAACAGGUUACGAUUUGGUAGAUUUUACACCUACCCAUUUUUUGGAAAUGAAAGAUAUAAACAAUAGAAAUAUUAAAUCAAUAGAAAUAUUAAAUCUUUACUUUAUCUUUAUCCAAAAAAAUUUUUGGUGNAAAAAAUUAUUUAUAAUCCNUAUUUUGAAAAAUAAAAAAAAANNCUGAAAAAANUGGAGAAUUUAUACUACUUAGUUUAGAAAAAAAAANUCGUCUUUUUUCUAUAUUAAUUUUUAAAAAUUAACGAGAAUCAAGUGUAUUAAUCCUCUAGGUAUACUUACGCAAUAUACCUUUAUUUAUAUUAUAUUUUNAUAAACCUCCGGGUAUACUUACCCNAAUAGAGAUAUUUUAGAGACUACUAUAAAAUAGUAGUAUAUUUUUUUCCUUACCCAAUAUAUUAGUCUAAAAAACUAAUAUAUUGGGUAUAUUGGGUAUUUCUCAAAUUAAUAUUCAAAUUUUUAAUAUAAUGAACAAUUCAAAAGAUCUAG